AUUGAUUUAAAAAUUGUUAUAAAAAGCGACAUGAAAUUAUUUAAAUCAUCAGUUUUAUUUGUGAUGUCUUGAACGCAACGAGAUUUUCAAGUGGAAUUACACUAAGGUAUCUGUCAAUCUUUUAGGACUUUUCUUAAUUUUUUGUGAUGAGUCAUUCAAGUUCACUGAUGACAAGGCAUAUUCUUUUUGAAUGACAAUAAACUUCAAGAUGUUAAAACUUUAGAUGCUGUGAUGUCAUUUAGAAUUUUCUAAAUGUUGGAUUUUUUUAAAGAAAGAAUAGAGAUUUGAGACUGCACUACAUCAUCCAGGCUGAUUAAAAAAUAUACACAGAUGUUUUUAAUGGAGUCAAACACAUCAUUUUAAUCAACAAAAUGAUAUUCAAAAAUAUCUUGACGUUUUCAAUCAUAUGCUGAUAAAAAAAUUAAUUAUUUAUUCAUAAUUAAACUCCAAUAUGUUUCUCCUGAUGACUAUUGAUAAAUAAAAUUUAUAUUUAAAAUUAAUUAACAAGAAUUUCAUCAAAAUAAAAUAAAUAAAUAUUCUCAAAUAUU
Molecule: long non-coding RNA, 548 nt
Organism: Aphidius gifuensis
Lineage: Eukaryota; Metazoa; Arthropoda; Insecta; Hymenoptera; Braconidae
Exons: 4
Source: RefSeq, a predicted model, not a curated record